UACGUAGGGUGCGAGCGUUGCCCGGAUUUAUUGGGCGUAAAGAGCGUGUAGGCGGUCAGGUAGGUCCGUUGUGAAAACUCGAGGCUCAACCUCGAGACGCCGAUGGAAACCAUCUGACUAGAGUCCGGAAGAGGAGAGUGGAAUUCCUGGUGUAGCGGUGAAAUGCGCAGAUAUCAGGAAGAACACCCGUGGCUAAGGCGGCUCUCUAGUACGGUACUGACGCUGAGACGCGAAAGCGUGGGGAGCGAACAGG
This 253-nucleotide ribosomal RNA is filed under the name uncultured bacterium. RNAcentral's name for it is "partial 16S ribosomal RNA". It matches the Rfam family "Bacterial small subunit ribosomal RNA", at positions 524 to 776 of the family's 1533-position model. The record is from RNAcentral.